UUGACCUCGGAUCAGGUAGGGAUACCCGCUGAACUUAAGCAUAUCAAUAAGCGGAGGAAAAGAAACCAACAGGGAUUGCCUCAGUAACGGCGAGUGAAGCGGCAACAGCUCAAAUUUGAAAUCUGGCUCUUUCAGGGUCCGAGUUGUAAUUUGUAGAGGAUGCUUCGGGUGUGGCUCCGGUCUAAGUUCCUUGGAACAGGACGUCAUAGAGGGUGAGAAUCCCGUAUGUGACUGGUUGCCUAUGCUCAUGUGAAGCUCCUUCGACGAGUCGAGUUGUUUGGGAAUGCAGCUCAAAAUGGGUGGUAAAUUUCAUCUAAAGCUAAAUAUUGGCCAGAGACCGAUAGCGCACAAGUAGAGUGAUCGAAAGAUGAAAAGCACUUUGGAAAGAGAGUUAAACAGUACGUGAAAUUGUUGAAAGGGAAGCGCUUGCAACCAGACUUGCACGUAGUUAAUCAACCGGUGUUCUCACUGGUGCACUUGAUUACGUUCAGGCCAGCAUCGGUUUCGGUGGUUGGAUAAAGGCCGGGGGAAUGUGGCUUCUUUCGGGGAGUGUUAUAGCCCUCGGUGCAAUGCAGCCUACCGGGACCGAGGACCGCGCUUCGGCUAGGAUGCUGGCGUAAUGGUUGUAAGCGACCCGUCUUGAAAA
Molecule: ribosomal RNA, 646 nt
Filed under: mycorrhizal fungal sp. pkc02
Lineage: Eukaryota; Fungi
Also listed under: 1 other name
Description: eukaryotic LSU rRNA
Rfam family: Eukaryotic large subunit ribosomal RNA
Source: RNAcentral